UUUAUGGAGAGUUUGAUCCUGGCUCAGAGUGAACGCUGGCGGCGUGCCUAAUACAUGCAAGUCGAACGAUGAAGCUUCUAGCUUGCUAGAAGUGGAUUAGUGGCGCACGGGUGAGUAACGCAUAGGUCAUGUGCCUCUUAGUUUGGGAUAGCCAUUGGAAACGAUGAUUAAUACCAGAUACUCCCUACGGGGGAAAGAUUUAUCGCUAAGAGAUCAGCCUAUGUCCUAUCAGCUUGUUGGUAAGGUAAUGGCUUACCAAGGCUAUGACGGGUAUCCGGCCUGAGAGGGUGAACGGACACACUGGAACUGAGACACGGUCCAGACUCCUACGGGAGGCAGCAGUAGGGAAUAUUGCUCAAUGGGGGAAACCCUGAAGCAGCAACGCCGCGUGGAGGAUGAAGGUUUUAGGAUUGUAAACUCCUUUUGUUAGAGAAGAUAAUGACGGUAUCUAACGAAUAAGCACCGGCUAACUCCGUGCCAGCAGCCGCGGUAAUACGGAGGGUGCAAGCGUUACUCGGAAUCACUGGGCGUAAAGAGCGCGUAGGCGGGAUAGUCAGUCAGGUGUGAAAUCCUAUGGCUUAACCAUAGAACUGCAUUUGAAACUACUAUUCUAGAGUGUGGGAGAGGUAGGUGGAAUUCUUGGUGUAGGGGUAAAAUCCGUAGAGAUCAAGAGGAAUACUCAUUGCGAAGGCGACCUGCUGGAACAUUACUGACGCUGAUUGUGCGAAAGCGUGGGGAGCAAACAGGAUUAGAUACCCUGGUAGUCCACGCCCUAAACGAUGGAUGCUAGUUGUUGGAGGGCUUAGUCUCUCCAGUAAUGCAGCUAACGCAUUAAGCAUCCCGCCUGGGGAGUACGGUCGCAAGAUUAAAACUCAAAGGAAUAGACGGGGACCCGCACAAGCGGUGGAGCAUGUGGUUUAAUUCGAAGAUACACGAAGAACCUUACCUAGGCUUGACAUUGAGAGAAUCCGCUAGAAAUAGUGGAGUGUCUGGCUUGCCAGACCUUGAAAACAGGUGCUGCACGGCUGUCGUCAGCUCGUGUCGUGAGAUGUUGGGUUAAGUCCCGCAACGAGCGCAACCCCCUUUCUUAGUUGCUAACAGGUCAUGCUGAGAACUCUAAGGAUACUGCCUCCGUAAGGAGGAGGAAGGUGGGGACGACGUCAAGUCAUCAUGGCCCUUACGCCUAGGGCUACACACGUGCUACAAUGGGGUGCACAAAGAGAAGCAAUACUGCGAAGUGGAGCCAAUCUUCAAAACGCCUCUCAGUUCGGAUUGUAGGCUGCAACUCGCCUGCAUGAAGCUGGAAUCGCUAGUAAUCGCAAAUCAGCCAUGUUGCGGUGAAUACGUUCCCGGGUCUUGUACUCACCGCCCGUCACACCAUGGGAGUUGUGUUUGCCUUAAGUCAGGAUGCUAAAUUAGCUACUGCCCACGGCACACACAGCGACUGGGGUGAAGUCGUAACAAGGUAACCGUAGGUGAACCUGCGGUUGGAUCACCUCCUUUCUAGA
Molecule: ribosomal RNA, 1508 nt
Filed under: Helicobacter pylori
Lineage: Bacteria; Pseudomonadati; Campylobacterota; Epsilonproteobacteria; Campylobacterales; Helicobacteraceae
Description: bacterial SSU rRNA
Rfam family: Bacterial small subunit ribosomal RNA
Source: RNAcentral